UCCGUAGGUGAACCUGCGGAAGGAUCAUUAGUGAUAUUGAAAAUCCAUUUUUCAAGUCUCUAUAUAUACCCUUUUGUCAACCAUACCUUUGUUGCUUCCACUGGACCGACAUCAUUGUAUGUCGUCUGGCAUCUUGUAUGCUGGGGAGUGCCGGUGGAAAGAUUUACAAUUUAAACUUGUCUUUAGAAACACUUGUCUGACAACUUUAUUCUUUAAUAAGAUAAAACUUUCAACAACGGAUCUCUAGGCUCUUGCAUCGAUGAAGAACGCAGUGAAAUGCGAUAAGUAAUGUGAAUUGCAGAAUCUCGUGAAUCAUUGAAUCUUUGAACGCACAUUGCGCCCUAUGGUAUUCCGUAGGGCAUGCCUGUCUGAGCGUCAGCUCGUCUUCUCAAGCUCUUUUGCUUGGAUAACAUUAAGGAAGCAUGUUCUCUGUAACUUGCUCCUUAGAAAUUCAUAGGCGGUACGGUUCUUGCAAACCAGACGUAAUAAUACUCUUAUAUGUCGUCCUUUGUAUAGUGCUGUUGGCUUGGCCUCAUAAUCCACAUCCUUUAUUCAAGGAUGGACCUCAGGAUCAGGGGUAGGGGGGGAUACCCGGCUGGAACUUAAGG
This 608-nucleotide ribosomal RNA is filed under the name uncultured fungus. RNAcentral's name for it is "eukaryotic LSU rRNA". The stretch from base 225 to 378 matches the Rfam family "5.8S ribosomal RNA". Lineage: Eukaryota; Fungi. The record is from RNAcentral.